Molecule: ribosomal RNA, 253 nt
Filed under: uncultured bacterium
Lineage: Bacteria
Description: partial 16S ribosomal RNA
Rfam family: Bacterial small subunit ribosomal RNA
Source: RNAcentral
UACAGAGGUGGCAAGCGUUGUUCGGAAUUACUGGGCGUAAAGGGCGCGUAGGCGGCCAUCUAAGUCAGACGUGAAAUCCCCCGGCUUAACCUGGGAACUGCGUCUGAUACUGGACGGCUCGAGUUUGGGAGAGGGAUGUGGAAUUCCAGGUGUAGCGGUGAAAUGCGUAGAUAUCUGGAAGAACACCAAUGGCGAAGGCAGCUCUCUGGGACGGUACUGACGCUGAGACGCGAAAGCGUGGGGAGCGAACAGG